GGGUAGCCGGCCUGANAGGGCGACCGGCCACACUGGGACUGAGACACGGCCCAGACUCCUACGGGAGGCAGCAGUGGGGAAUAUUGCACAAUGGGCGCAAGCCUGAUGCAGCGACGCCGCGUGAGGGAUGACGGCCUUCGGGUUGUAAACCUCUUUCAGCAGGGAAGAAGCGCAAGUGACGGUACCUGCAGAAGAAGCGCCGGCUAACUACGUGCCAGCAGCCGCGGUAAUACGUAGGGCGCGAGCGUUGUCCGGAAUUAUUGGGCGUAAAGAGCUCGUAGGCGGCUUGUCGCGUCGGUUGUGAAAGCCCGGGGCUUAACCCCGGGUCUGCAGUCGAUACGGGCAGGCUAGAGUUCGGUAGGGGAGAUCGGAAUUCCUGGUGUAGCGGUGAAAUGCGCAGAUAUCAGGAGGAACACCGGUGGCGAAGGCGGAUCUCUGGGCCGAUACUGACGCUGAGGAGCGAAAGCGUGGGGAGCGAACAGGAUUAGAUACCCUGGUAGUCCACGCCGUAAACGGUGGGCACUAGGUGUGGGCAACAUUCCACGUUGUCCGUGCCGCAGCUAACGCAUUAAGUGCCCCGCCUGGGGGAGUACGGA
This 596-nucleotide ribosomal RNA is filed under the name Streptomyces sp. BJ01. RNAcentral's name for it is "bacterial SSU rRNA". It matches the Rfam family "Bacterial small subunit ribosomal RNA", at positions 281 to 886 of the family's 1533-position model. Lineage: Bacteria; Bacillati; Actinomycetota; Actinomycetes; Kitasatosporales; Streptomycetaceae. The record is from RNAcentral.